UUUUUUGGAGAGUUUGAUCCUGGCUCAGGACGAACGCUGGCGGUAUGCUUAACACAUGCAAGUCGUACGAGAUAAAAAAUUAUAUUUCCUCUUUGCGGAGUGAGAUAUAAGAUUUUAUUCUAGUGGCGGACGGGUGCGUAACGCGUAAGAACUUACCUUUUGGUGUGGGAUAACAGCUGGAAACGGCUGCUAAUACCGCAUAGUGCUGAGAAGCUAAAAGUGAAAACUGCCAAGAGAGAGGCUUGCGUCUGAUUAGCUAGUUGGUGGAGGUAAAGGCUCCCCAAGGCGACGAUCAGUAGCUGGUCUGAGAGGAUGAUCAGCCACACUGGGACUGAGACACGGCCCAGACUCCUACGGGAGGCAGCAGUGAGGAAUUUUCCACAAUGGGCGAAAGCCUGAUGGAGCAAUACCGCGUGGAGGAAGACGGAUCGUGGUCUGUAAACUCCUUUUCUCAGAGAAGACACCCGACGGUAUCUGAGGAAUAAGCACCGGCUAACUCUGUGCCAGCAGCCGCGGUAAUACAGGGGGUGCAAGCGUUGUCCGGAAUGAUUGGGCGUAAAGCGUUCGUAGGUGGUUCUUAAAGUCUACUGUUAAAUCCCAGAGCUUAACUUUGGACCGGCAGUAGAGAACUCAAGAGCUAGAGGGCGGUAGGGGUAGAGGGAAUUCCUAGUUAAGCGGUGAAAUGCACAGAGAUUAGGAAGAACACCGGUGGCGAAAGCGCUCUACUAGGCCGUUGCUGACACUGAGGGACGACAGCUGUGGGAGCGAAAAGGAUUAGAUACCCUUGUAGUCACAGCCGUAAACGAUGGAUACUAAGUGCUGUCAAAAACAGUGCUGUAGCUUACGCGUUAAGUAUCCCGCCUGGGGAGUAUGCUCGCAAGAGUGAAACUCAAAGGAAUUGACGGGUCUUAGCACAAGUGGUGGAUUCUGUGGUUUAAUUUGAUGCUACGCGGAGAACCUUACCAGGGUUUGACAUCCCGAGAAGAACCUAGAAAUAGGUUUGUGCUCCUUAUCGCUUCGCGAAUAAAGGAGAGCUUGGUGACAGGUGGUGCAUGGCUGUCGUCAGCUCGUGCGGUGACGUGUCGAGUUAAGUCUUUUAACGAGCGCAACCCUUGUCUUUAGUUGUCCUUCGCAUUCGGUGCGCGCGCUUCCGCAUAGCGGCUGCGAAGACUUCGUCGAAAGCAACCGAAGCGAAAAAGCGGAAAUCUAAAGAGACUGCCGGAGCAAUUCGGAGGAAGGAGAGGAUGACGUCAAGUCAGCAUGCCCCUUACAUCCUGGGCUACACACGUAAUACAAUGGUUGAGACAAUCGGCAGCAAACCCGUGAGGGGGAGCGAAUCUGGCAAACUCAAUCUCAGUUCGGAUUGUAGGCUGCAACUCGCCUACAUGAAGUUGGAAUCACUAGUAAUCGCCGGUCAGCUAUACGGCGGUGAAUACGUUCCCUAAGAUUGUACACACCGCCCGUCAAAGGUCGAGAGCAGAUUGAACCCGAAGUGGCUUACUCUAACAGAAAUGAAGAGGGUUCCAACGGUUUGGUUUGUGAUUAAUCUUAAGUCGUAACAAGGUACUCCUACUGGAAGGUGGGAGUGGAGAACCUCCUUU
Molecule: ribosomal RNA, 1601 nt
Filed under: Pediastrum angulosum
Lineage: Eukaryota; Viridiplantae; Chlorophyta; Chlorophyceae; Sphaeropleales; Hydrodictyaceae
Description: SSU rRNA
Rfam family: Bacterial small subunit ribosomal RNA
Source: RNAcentral